UGCAGCGGAAAAAGGGAACACAUAGGAUUACACACAACUUCCAACGUAUGAAAAUCAUACUAUCACCUGUUCUUGGUUAAAUCAUCACAAGCCAACAAAUUACCAAACCAAAAGAAAUAUCAUAUUCUCUUAUCAUAAAUACAAAUACACUAAAAUGGGCUAGUGUUCACCUAUAGACAAUAUAAUAUCUCAUUUACUAACAACGAUAUUAAAAUGAUACUCAUAACUUCUAAAUGAGUGCUGCCAAUAUUACGACUUUCAUUACUUUAGAACCCAUGAUGACUUCAUAGUAAUAGAAGUAUCAUUUUUUUUAAACUCAACCAAGACUGAAGCAAAUACAUUCAAACAAAUUGCAUCGACAAUUUGAAGGCGAAUAAGUUAGUUCUCAAACUUCUGUGGCCAGAAGACAAAAUCAUCCACACGUUGAACACCAAAUCAUAAACAAACUCAAUACAUUUAAUUUGCACAAGUAGACUGAUGGGCUAUUAAAGAGUCAAUUACUAAAGGCUUUUUUAACAGUAGGAAGAUGUACAAUUUAAACAGACCACUAAUAGUACCUGAGAGUCUUACAAACGAGCAUGUACAUACGAGCAGAUAAUCGCGUUAACACUCACAUAGAGAAUAAAACUAGAAUAGUACGCCUUUUGUCUCUCCAGAUGUUAUACUAACAGCCCUAUACAAAACGAAUCCAAACAGUCCUACUUAAUACAAUCCUAUAAUUAACAGUCCAAUAGUACAAUGUAACCACAAGUUAACAGUAAACAUAAACAAAUACAAAUCAUCUAGUAUUUACUCUAUUAGGACAGAUUGAACACGUAUUAUUCAGGAUAUAAACGGUCAGCAUUUUUCAUUCCACUUCCAAUCUGAACUAUACACCAUAACUGGUUCAAUGUAUGCACCUGGAAAUGUGUUAUCAAGCCACAGAGCAUUUUUCAUUCCACUUCCAAUAUGAACUAUAAACCAUAAAUGGUUCAAAGUAUGUACCUGAAAAUAUGUUAACAAGCUAGAAAAUGAAGGAUCAGCAGCAGUAAGCGACAGAAAUCAGCAAUCAACGAACAUUAGUAAUGGGCAGAAAUCAACAACAGCCCAGAGCUUAACUCAACCAAACCAGGAACAGUAUGAACCCAUUAGAACCCACACACAACUUUUACCAAACCAAUUGGCAUUGAAUUUUGAUUCAGACAAACAGAUCCAAACCUAUAAACUACUCCAAGUAUUUUAACUCCAAGUACAUUCAUAAGUAAAAAGAGAAAAGGUUCUAGCUAUUUUCACUGAAUGAAACAAUAUUAUUCUUUUUCAACUUUUCCUCUUUAUUUUAAAGUAUCAUUUAACUCUGAAAGGGAACCUAAUGCUGAAAUCUCCACCCUAAAAAAUGAUCUUAAGGACUGAUUUUUAGCUCUUCCCAAAAAAUUCUCUCUAUUUAUGGAUGCCCCUUUUUUUCUCAGCUAUCUGUCCCUUCUCUAUAUUCUGAAAUUCUCUCUUGCUUCAAAGAUGUCUGCCUCUUUUAUCAACUAAAACUCCUUCUAUUUAUACACCACCACAACAGACCUGCCCUGCCCUAACUACCCCACCUAAAGUGCAAAAAUCUGCACAUUUCCACUCAAAAAUCCACUAAGAACACUUUUCCUACUUUAUUCCCCAAAUUAAGGCAUGUAAUAAGUCUUUGUUUCCCAUUUACUUAUUAGACUAUUGACAUUUAAUACCCCAUUGAUAAGACACUAUCAUUACAUCAUAAUCUAACUUUUUAUCCCCAAAUCGCCCCUGAAAUCCCUUGGAUAUUACUGCCCUGCCCGAACCAAUUAAUUUGUAUUGAACCCUUCCAUUCUAACAUGUUCAAACCUAUCAACUGACUCCUGAUUAAUCACCAAACACUACAACUAUAACCAAUUCCAUCCUAUCCAAACACAAAAAAAAUGAUUUCAGGCAGACUGCCAGAUUAAAUCAAGAAAUGGUAUGAAUUAAAGAGGAAAUGAGCAUGGAGUUGCUACUAUGAGCAAAACUGAACAUCACAUAGAUGUUCAAGAAAUUAACAGGAUGAACAGAGAUGCUUUCGAGGGUGUAGUCAAGCUAGACUCUGGACUCAGAGUAAUCACAUUAUCAUGCUCACUCUUAUAUCACAACACUAACAACAGGAAGAAGCAAAGCAAUAAUCACACUAGUAAUUCACAAUUGAAGAUAUUAUCAUGCUAUCAUCUAAAAGACGGAGUGACGACCAUAUUUAACGAUUAACAUACACAAUUGGUAACAACAAAGAGAUUUGCACAUACGAACAGGGCAAGCUGUACUGGCAGGCUUAUGUUCAUGUUAUUCUAUCAUCUAAGUAUAAAAACUAGUUGACGACAACAUUUAACAACUUAGCAAGCUACAACAUUUAACAGUCAAUCAACAAACAAACUAAACAGACUAACAAGGUGAUUCCAACGAUAUCAACAGUAAACCAGGGAACUUUAACUAAUCGACCGAACUAACUCGAAAGAUUUACAUGAUUUAUAGCAAAUACUUAACAAAUGAACAUAAACAUCAAACCAAAUAAAAGGUAAGGAGAUGAGAAGAAUUGAAAGAAAAAUGAAACGAACUAAACUAACAUGUAAACAAACACAAAUAAAACACAAACAAGAUAGAAGUAAAGGAAAAUACAUCAGAAUUUCAGACAAAAAUCCAAUCCGUUCUAAUAGAAACUUCGACUUGAUCUUGAAGCCGACAUGGACCUUAAUCGAGUGUUCUCGACUGAGAACACACGACUAAAGUCGAUAACGACCUCAAUUUUCCUACUUCGGCUCGAUUCCAGGCUUUGGUUCUUUUAGGGUUCACUCAAUAGAUUUGAAAUCCGAUAAGCUCUACUAUGAUUCGAGUAAAACUAACAUGGGUUUUGGGACGAGGGUAACUUGGGGGUUCAGUUGUGUAACUUUGGGGUCAAACGGACGGCUUAAGGUUUGGGGUCGGUUUCUUUGAUCUAAUAUUCGAGAACCUAGGCUAACAUUCGAGGAAAACUGUUGGGAUAGUAGGAAUGGGGAUGUUCAGAUGGUCAAAGGGUGUAAUUUUCAUGGCCAUCGGAGUAACGACCAUCGGUUUUUGGGGAGAGGAUUCAAAGGCGGCUCUAGGGUUUUAGUGGGAUCGCCUGGUUUGUUUGAGAGAGAGAGAGACGAAUGGGUGGGGUUAUUUUUUGGUAAAUG
RNAcentral lists this long non-coding RNA (3173 nucleotides) under Nicotiana benthamiana. RNAcentral's name for it is "long non-coding RNA (NBEN_LNC012155)". Lineage: Eukaryota; Viridiplantae; Streptophyta; Magnoliopsida; Solanales; Solanaceae. The record is from RNAcentral.